ACGAACGCUGGCGGCGUGCUUAACACAUGCAAGUCGAACGGAAAGGCCCUGCUUUUGUGGGGUGCUCGAGUGGCGAACGGGUGAGUAACACGUGAGUAACCUGCCCUUGACUUUGGGAUAACUUCAGGAAACUGGGGCUAAUACCGGAUAGGAGCUCCUGCUGCAUGGUGGGGGUUGGAAAGUUUCGGCGGUUGGGGAUGGACUCGCGGCUUAUCAGCUUGUUGGUGGGGUAGUGGCUUACCAAGGCUUUGACGGGUAGCCGGCCUGAGAGGGUGACCGGCCACAUUGGGACUGAGAUACGGCCCAGACUCCUACGGGAGGCAGCAGUGGGGAAUAUUGCACAAUGGGCAGAAGCCUGAUGCAGCAACGCCGCGUGCGGGAUGACGGCCUUCGGGUUGUAAACCGCUUUCGCCUGUGACGAAGCGUGAGUGACGGUAAUGGGUAAAGAAGCACCGGCUAACUACGUG
Molecule: ribosomal RNA, 467 nt
Filed under: uncultured bacterium
Lineage: Bacteria
Description: partial 16S ribosomal RNA
Rfam family: Bacterial small subunit ribosomal RNA
Source: RNAcentral